CGAAUGCUGACAUAAGUAACGAUAAAGCGGGUGAAAAGCCCGCUCGCCGGAAGACCAAGGGUUCCUGUCCAACGUUAAUCGGGGCAGGGUGAGUCGACCCCUAAGGCGAGGCCGAAAGGCGUAGUCGAUGGGAAACAGGUUAAUAUUCCUGUACUUGGUGUUACUGCGAAGGGGGGACGGAGAAGGCUAUGUUGGCCGGGCGACGGUUGUCCCGGUUUAAGCGUGUAGGCUGGUUUUCCAGGCAAAUCCGGAAAAUCAAGGCUGAGG
Molecule: ribosomal RNA, 267 nt
Filed under: Escherichia coli
Lineage: Bacteria; Pseudomonadati; Pseudomonadota; Gammaproteobacteria; Enterobacterales; Enterobacteriaceae
Description: partial 23S ribosomal RNA
Rfam family: Bacterial large subunit ribosomal RNA
Source: RNAcentral